Molecule: ribosomal RNA, 710 nt
Filed under: Pseudomonas aeruginosa
Lineage: Bacteria; Pseudomonadati; Pseudomonadota; Gammaproteobacteria; Pseudomonadales; Pseudomonadaceae
Description: bacterial SSU rRNA
Rfam family: Bacterial small subunit ribosomal RNA
Source: RNAcentral
GAACUGAAGAGUUUGAUCAUGGCUCAGAUUGAACGCUGGCGGCAGGCCUAACACAUGCAAGUCGAGCGGAUGAAGGGAGCUUGCUCCUGGAUUCAGCGGCGGACGGGUGAGUAAUGCCUAGGAAUCUGCCUGGUAGUGGGGGAUAACGUCCGGAAACGGGCGCUAAUACCGCAUACGUCCUGAGGGAGAAAGUGGGGGAUCUUCGGACCUCACGCUAUCAGAUGAGCCUAGGUCGGAUUAGCUAGUUGGUGGGGUAAAGGCCUACCAAGGCGACGAUCCGUAACUGGUCUGAGAGGAUGAUCAGUCACACUGGAACUGAGACACGGUCCAGACUCCUACGGGAGGCAGCAGUGGGGAAUAUUGGACAAUGGGCGAAAGCCUGAUCCAGCCAUGCCGCGUGUGUGAAGAAGGUCUUCGGAUUGUAAAGCACUUUAAGUUGGGAGGAAGGGCAGUAAGUUAAUACCUUGCUGUUUUGACGUUACCAACAGAAUAAGCACCGGCUAACUUCGUGCCAGCAGCCGCGGUAAUACGAAGGGUGCAAGCGUUAAUCGGAAUUACUGGGCGUAAAGCGCGCGUAGGUGGUUCAGCAAGUUGGAUGUGAAAUCCCCGGGCUCAACCUGGGAACUGCAUCCAAAACUACUGAGCUAGAGUACGGUAGAGGGUGGUGGAAUUUCCUGUGUAGCGGUGAAAUGCGUAGAUAUAGGAAGGAA